GGAAGGAUCAUUACGAAAUUCGGCGCGCUCCGGCGCUGCCUUAUUCACCCACCCUUUGUCUACGUGUACCUCCAUAGCUUCCUCGGCGGGCUCGCCCGCCGCCAGGAACCCCCGAAACCCCUUGCAUUAUACACGAAAACUUCUGAUAACAAACCUAAAUUAUCACAACUUUCAACAAUGGAUCUCUUGGUUCUGGCAUCGAUGAAGAACGCAGCGAAAUGCGAUAAGUAGUGUGAAUUGCAGAAUUCAGUGAAUCAUCGAAUCUUUGAACGCACAUUGCGGCCAUAGGUAUUCCUUUGGCCAUGCCUGUUCGAGCGUCAUUUACACCCUCAAGCCUAGCUUGGUGUUGGGCGUCUGUCCCGCCGUUUUCGCGCGCGCGGACUCGCCUCAAAGUCAUUGGCGGCGGUCGUGCCGGCCCCUCGCGCAGCACAUUUGCGCUUCUCGGAGGCCCGGCGGACCCGCGCUCCAGCGAAGACCUUUCACGACUUGACCUCGGAUCAGGUAGGGAUACCCGCUGAACUUAAGCAUAUCAAUAAGCGGAGGAAAAGAAACCAACAGGGAUUGCCCUAGUAACGGCGAGUGAAGCGGCAACAGCUCAAAUUUGAAAUCUGGCCCCUUCGGGGUCCGAGUUGUAAUUUGCAGAGGGUGCUUUGGCGUUGGCGGCGGUCUAAGUUCCUUGGAACAGGACAUCGCAGAGGGUGAGAAUCCCGUAUGUGGUCGCCCGCCUUCGCCGUGUAAAGCCCCUUCGACGAGUCGAGUUGUUUGGGAAUGCAGCUCUAAAUGGGAGGUAAAUUUCUUCUAAAGCUAAAUACCGGCCAGAGACCGAUAGCGCACAAGUAGAGUGAUCGAAAGAUGAAAAGCACUUUGGAAAGAGAGUCAAACAGCACGUGAAAUUGUUGAAAGGGAAGCGCUUGCAGCCAGACUUGCCUGUAGUUGCUCACCCGGGCUCCUGCCCGGGGCACUCUUCUGCAGGCAGGCCAGCAUCAGUUUGGGCGGUUGGAUAAAGGGCUCUGACACGUACUUCCCCUCGGGGUUGACAUACAGGGGAGCCGCAAUGCGACCAGCCCGGACUGAGGUCCGCGCAUCUGCUAGGAUGCUGGCGUAAUGGCUGUAAGCGGCCCGUCUUGAAACACGGACCAAGGAGUCUAACAUCUAUGCGAGUGUUUGGGUGUCAAGCCCGAGCGCGUAAUGAAAGUGAACGGAGGUGGGAACCCCUCGGGGUGCACCAUCGACCGAUCCUGAUGUCUUCGGAUGGAUUUGAGUAAGAGCAUAGCUGUUGGGACCCGAAAGAUGGUGAACUAUGCUUGAAUAGGGUGAAGCCAGAGGAAACUCUGGUGGAGGCUCGCAGCGGUUCUGACGUGCAAAUCGAUCGUCAAAUUUGGGCAUAGGGGCGAAAGACUAAUCGAACUAUCUAGUAGCUGGUUCCUGC
RNAcentral lists this unclassified non-coding RNA (1429 nucleotides) under uncultured fungus. RNAcentral's name for it is "sequence contains 18S rRNA gene, ITS1, 5.8S rRNA gene, ITS2, 28S rRNA gene". The stretch from base 488 to 1429 matches the Rfam family "Eukaryotic large subunit ribosomal RNA", at positions 1 to 961 of the family's 3401-position model. Lineage: Eukaryota; Fungi. The record is from RNAcentral.